CAGUAGCCGCGGUAAUACGUAGGUGGCAAGCGUUGUCCGGAAUUAUUGGGCGUAAAGGGCUCGCAGGCGGUUUCUUAAGUCUGAUGUGAAAGCCCCCGGCUCAACCGGGGAGGGUCAUUGGAAACUGGGAAACCUGAGUGCAGAAGAGGAGAGUGGAAUUCCACGUGUAGCGGUGAAAUGCGUAGAGAUGUGGAGGAACACCAGUGGCGAAGGCGACUCUCUGGUCUGUAACUGACGCUGAGGAGCGAAAGCGUGGGGAGCGAACAGGAUUAGAUACCCGCGUAGUCCCUGUCUCUUAUAC
RNAcentral lists this ribosomal RNA (301 nucleotides) under uncultured bacterium. Its description in RNAcentral is "partial 16S ribosomal RNA". It matches the Rfam family "Bacterial small subunit ribosomal RNA", at positions 509 to 807 of the family's 1533-position model. The record is from RNAcentral.